UACACCUACACCUCCGUGAUGACGGUAAGUGUCCCAAGUGUUUUGCUUAAUAGAGUUUUGUUGUGAUGCCAUGUUGUAUAUAUCUAGACAUAUCGUGCAUAAUGUGUGUAUGUUUGAAAUGCAUUGUAUGUGUGGGAUUCGACACCUAGUCGUGUGCCUUUGGUAGCCUUCCAUAUAGGGAAAUGCCUCCUAGUGCUUCCACUGAGCCAUGGUAGUUCGCUACUGCUCCGGAACACAUGGAUUGACCGGCAUGUGUCCUUCUUUGCUCCUCUGUCUGUCCCUACGGGGAAAUGUCACGCGGUGUAUCACCGAAGUCCUUGUAGCUUGCUACGACUUGGUUGCACUCGCUGAUGACCGACACGUGCAUUGCUGGGUCAUGUAUGCCUGUCCCUGUACGUUUGUGCCACCUUGGUUCUAUGACUAGUCAUGUCGGCCCGGGUUCUCUGCCAUAUGGAUACUAGCGACAUAAUCAUAUACUUAGCAUUUUUUCCUCCAAAAUGACUCAAUAUGCUUACCUAGCUCAAAAAUGACUUAAUAUGCUUAGCUAGCAUAAAAAUGACAUAUACUUAGCAUUUUUCCUCCAAAAUGACUUAAUAUGCUUAGCUAGCAUAAAAAUGACCUAUUUAACCUAGGAUAGCUCUAAAAUGACCUAUACUUAGCAUCUUUUCCUCAAAAAAGACUUAAUAUGCUUAGCUAGCUCUAAAAUGAUAUAGUAUGCUUAAGAAAUGACAUAUUUUAGGUCCUAAAUGACUUCAUAUGCUUAGGUAGCUCCAAAAUGACAUAAUAACCUUACUUAGCUUCAAAAUGACCUAUUCAACCUAGGCUAGCUCUAAAAUGACCUAUACUUAGCAUUUUUUCCUCCAAAAUGACUUAAUAUGCUUAGCUAGUUCAAGAAUUACAUAAUAAGCUUAAUUAGCUCCAAAAUGACCUAUUUAACCUAGGAUAGCUCUAAAAUGACCUAUACUUAGCAUUGUUUCCUUCAAAAUGACUUAAUAUGCUUAGCUAGCAUAAAAAUGACCUAUUUAACCUAGGAUAGCUCUAAAAUGACCUAUACUUAGCAUCUUUUCCUCAAAAAAGACUUAAUAUGCUUAGCUAGCUCUAAAAUGAUAUAGUAUGCUUAAGAAAUGACAUAUUUUAGGUCCUAAAUGACUUCAUAUGCUUAGCUAGCUCCAAAAUGACAUAAUAACCUUACUUAGCUUCAAAAUGACCUAUUCAACCUAGGCUAGCUCUAAAAUGAACUAUACUUAGCAUUUUUUUCCUCCAAAAUGACUUAAUAUGCUUAGCUAGUUCAAGAAUUACAUAAUAAGCUUAAUUAGCUCCAAAAUGACCUAUUUAACCUAGGAUAGCUCUAAAAUGACCUAUACUUAGCAUUCUUUCCUUCAAAAUAACUUAAUAUGCUUAGCUAGCAUAAAAAUGACCUAUUUAACCUAGGAUAGCUCUAAAAUGACCUAUACGUAGCAUCUUUUCCUCAAAAGAGACAUAAUAUGCUUAGCUAGCUCUAAAAUGAUAUAGUAUGCUUAAGAAAUGACAUAUUUUAGGUCCUAAAUGACUUCAUAUGCUUAGCUAGCUCCAAAAUGACAUAAUAACCUUACUUAGCUUCAAAAUGACCUAUUUAACCUAGGCUAGCUCUAAAAUGAACUAUACUUAGCAUUUUUUCCUCCAAAAUGACUUAAUAUGCUUAGCUAGUUCAAGAAUUACAUAAUAAGCUUAAUUAGCUCCAAAAUGACUUAUUUAACCUAGGAUAGCUCUAAAAUGACCUAUACUUAGCAUUGUUUCCUUCAAAAUAACUUAAUAUGCUUAGCUAGCAUAAAAAUGACCUAUUUAACCUAGGAUAGCUCUAAAAUGACCUAUACUUAGCAUCUUUUCCUCAAAAAAGACUUAAUAUGCUUAGCUAGCUCUAAAAUGAUAUAGUAUGCUUAAGAAAUGACAUAUUUUAGGUCCUAAAUGACUUCAUAUGCUUAGGUAGCUCCAAAAUGACAUAAUAACCUUACUUAGCUUCAAAAUGACCUAUUCAACCUAGGCUAGCUCUAAAAUGAACUAUACUUAGCAUUUUUCCUCCAAAAUGACUUAAUAUGCUUAGCUAGUUCAAAAAUGACAUAAUAAGCUUAAUUAGCUCCAAAAUGACCUAUUUAACCUAGGAUAGCUCUAAAAUGACCUAUACUUAGCAUUGUUUCCUUCAAAAUAACUUAAUAUGCUUAGCUAGCAUAAAAAUGACAUAUUUAAGCUAGGAUAGCUCUAAAAUGACCUAUACUUAGCAUCUUUUCCUCAAAAAAGACUUAAUAUGCUUAGCUAGCUCUAAAAUGAUAUAGUAUGCUUAAGAAAUGACAUAUUUUAGGUCCUAAAUGACUUCAUAUGCUUAGGUAGCUCCAAAAUGACAUAAUAACCUUACUUAGCUUCAAAAUGACCUAUUCAACCUAGGCUAGCUCUAAAAUGACCUAUACUUAGCAUUUUUUCCUCCAAAAUGACUUAAUAUGCUUAGCUAGUUCAAGAAUUACAUAAUAAGCUUAAUUAGCUCCAAAAUGACCUAUUUAACCUAGGAUAGCUCUAAAAUGACCUGUACUUAGCAUUGUUUCCUUCAAAAUGACUAAAUAUGCUUAGCUAGCAUAAAAAUGACCUAUUUAACCUAGGAUAGCUCUAAAAUGACCUAUACUUAGCAUCUUUUCCUCAAAAAAGACUUAAUAUGCUUAGCUAGCUCUAAAAUGAUAUAGUAUGCUUAAGAAAUGACAUAUUUUAGGUCCUAAAUGACUUCAUAUGCUUAGGUAGCUCCAAAAUGACAUAAUAACCUUACUUAGCUUCAAAAUGACCUAUUCAACCUAGGCUAGCUCUAAAAUGAACUAUACUUAGCAUUUUUUCCUCCAAAAUGACUUAAUAUGCUUAGCUAGUUGAAAAUUUACAUAAUAAGCUUAAUUAGCUCCAAAAUGACCUAUUUAACCUAGGAUAGCUCUAAAAUGACCUAUACUUAGCAUUGUUUCCUUCAAAAUGACUUAAUAUGCUUAGCUAGCUUCAAAAUGACUUAGUGUGCUUGCAUAAUCUUUGUUUGCAGCAGUGUGUGCUUCACCUAUAUAUAUUACUGUGAAUAAGGUAUAGGGUCACUCAUACAAAAGAGAGAGGGCCUUAGUACAUAUAAGCAAGGAGAAAUAUGACUAUAGAUUGGCAGGAAUAAGACUGGGCAUAAGAUGCCUGGUAGUGUGUCGUUAUAGUAUGCUCAAAAAUGACAUAAUAACCAUACUUAGCUCCAAAAUUACCUAUUUUACAGAUAUAAGUUGCAUCAUAAUAAUCUUCACAUUUUAGUUGCAUCAUAAUAAUCUUCUUCUUCUAACUUUCUUCUUUCCCAUUUUACAGAUUUGCUUAAGAUCACGGAAGCUUGGGUUGAUGGAGUGCUUGUAUUUAGUUUUUGUUUUGACCUUGUGAAACUUGCUACCUAUGGAUGAAACUGUGUAAUAUUGAUGAAACUAUGUAUUUGUACGGAUGAAACUUGCUACUAUUGGUAACAUGUGUUGGAUACAUAUGUGUUCAUGACUAUUGGUAAUAUGUGUUGAAUAUGCUAUAUUGGUCAUAUAAAUAUAUUUGUGUUUGAUUUUUGUGAAAAUGAAUUGAUAUAAGAAAAAACAAAAUUAAAU
This 3620-nucleotide long non-coding RNA is filed under the name Triticum aestivum (bread wheat). RNAcentral describes it as "long non-coding RNA (TAES_LNC026477)". The record is from RNAcentral. Lineage: Eukaryota; Viridiplantae; Streptophyta; Magnoliopsida; Poales; Poaceae.